UUGAAUUUCCUUGCCUGGAAUUUCCCUGCCCUGCCUUGCCAUGCCUCGAAUUGCCUUGCCUCGCCCUGCCCUGCCCUGACCUGACCUGCCCUGCCCAGGAUGAGCAGCGGUGAAGGAUGCUCCUGGGGUCCCUGGCUGGGAAAGGCCAGAAUUCUAAAGUCGGUUCCACUGACUCAAGGUGGGAGCAGGGCAGGUACCUUCCCAGGCUCUGAAGGAGAAUGAGUUUCUGGCCCUGGAGGCUUCCUGGAAUCCUCAGCUUGUGCUGCCCUUCUUGAAUGACUGGAGGUACCUGCUUCCAUCACUACACUUCCCAUCGCUCUCCAUCACCUGCUCUGCUCUGGUAAGGAUCUGGGUGAGUACAUCAACCCCACUGUGAUAAGCCAGAAUAAUCUUCCUGGCCAGAAGUCCUUAACUUCAUUAUAUCUGCAAAGCCCCUUUUACCGUAUGAGGUCAUGUUCACCGGUUCCUGGGAUUAGGUUAUGAGCAUCUUGGGGGGUCACUAUCAGCCUAUUACAGGUAUGCUGCAAAACUAUUACCCCUUCCUGGUGUUUCAGUGAUUGGGAGGAAAAGGGUUGGGAUUUUUGCUUUGGGGUUUUCUUUUUUGACAUGGAGUCUUGCUCUUUUGCACAGGCUGGCUGCAGUCUUCGUUCCCUGCAACAUUUGUCUCCUGGGUUCAAGUGAUUCUUCUACCUCAACCUCCUGAGUACCUGGGACUACAGGUGCCUGCCACCAUGUCUGAGAAAUGCAAUGAUUGUAUCACUGAUCUAUGUAAACACAUUGAACAACUAUCUGAAAGAAAAUAUGGUAUGUCUAAACUAGAAAAGUCCUGUAAUACUUUGUUCAUGAGUGUUUAUACAAUGGAGUCACUGUUCAUCUUGUAGUGUCUGUCUAAAUAUUAGAAACUUUCUUUCUUUCUAGAUUACUGUAAAGCUAAGGAAAAGUUGUAUUUCUUAAAUUAUCAGCAUUUCUUUUAAACUUUCAGCAUGAAUAUUGGCAAUUUAUGUACAUAUUUAUUGCAAAGCCCUGGAUCUUAGGGAUUUAAUUAAUUUUUUAAAACUAAUGAUUUCUCUUUAUCUGCUUUGCUAAAUUUGGUAUUUGGUUGGGCAUGGUGGCUCAUGCCUGUAAUACCAGCACUUUGGGAGGCCAAGGCAGGCAGAUCAUGAGGUCAGCUUGGCCAAGUCUCUUAUUCUGUCUGAGCCUUAGUAUGCUCUUUAGUGGUCAUGAGAACUGAAGAUCUAUCUCGAAGAUUUGAUAGCAUGCUACACUGCUUCACAUAAUACUGGGUAUAUAAAUACAUAAUAAAUGCAUCUUGCUUAUGUUUUAAUUUCCUUAUUUAUUUAUUUUUUGAGGCAGAAUCUUGCUCUGUUGCACAGACUGAAGUGCAGUGGCAUGAGAUCUCGG
RNAcentral lists this long non-coding RNA (1401 nucleotides) under Callithrix jacchus (white-tufted-ear marmoset). RNAcentral's name for it is "lncRNA (ENSCJAG00000077415.1)". Lineage: Eukaryota; Metazoa; Chordata; Mammalia; Primates; Cebidae. The record is from RNAcentral.